CCGCGUCUGAUUAGCUAGUUGGUGGGGUAAAAGCCUACCAAGGCGACGAUGCGUAGCCGACCUGAGAGGGUGAUCGGCCACAUUGGAACUGAGACACGGUCCAGACUCCUACGGGAGGCAGCAGUGGGGAAUAUUGCACAAUGGAGGGAACUCUGAUGCAGCGACGCCGCGUGAGCGAUGAAGGUUUUCGGAUCGUAAAGCUCUGUCCUAAGGGACGAUAAUGACGGUACCUUAGGAGGAAGCCCCGGCUAACUAC
RNAcentral lists this ribosomal RNA (256 nucleotides) under uncultured bacterium. RNAcentral describes it as "partial 16S ribosomal RNA". It matches the Rfam family "Bacterial small subunit ribosomal RNA", at positions 231 to 504 of the family's 1533-position model. The record is from RNAcentral.